GGGGGUAUAGCUCAGUGGGGAGAGCAUCCGACUGCAGAUCGGAUUGUCCUCGGUUCAACCUCGGGUGCCCUUC
Molecule: transfer RNA, 73 nt
Filed under: Daphnia galeata
Lineage: Eukaryota; Metazoa; Arthropoda; Branchiopoda; Diplostraca; Daphniidae
Rfam family: tRNA
About the family: Transfer RNA (tRNA) molecules are approximately 80 nucleotides in length.
Source: Rfam by way of RNAcentral